This 454-nucleotide ribosomal RNA is filed under the name uncultured bacterium. RNAcentral describes it as "SSU rRNA". It matches the Rfam family "Bacterial small subunit ribosomal RNA", at positions 26 to 518 of the family's 1533-position model. The record is from RNAcentral.
AGAACGAACGCUGGCGGCAUGCCUAACACAUGCAAGUCGAACGUGAUCCAGGCUUCGGCCUGGUGAAAGUGGCAGACGGGUGAGUAACGCGUGGGAACCUGCCCUGUGGUAGGGAAUAACCGUGGGAAACUGCGGCUAAUACCCUAUGAGUCCUUCGGGAGAAAGAUUUAUCGCCAUAGGAGGGGCCCGCGUCGGAUUAGGUAGUUGGUGGGGUAACGGCCUACCAAGCCUUCGAUCCGUAGCUGGUCUGAGAGGAUGAUCAGCCACACUGGGACUGAGAUACGGCCCAGACUCCUACGGGAGGCAGCAGUGGGGAAUAUUGGACAAUGGGGGCAACCCUGAUCCAGCAAUGCCGCGUGGAUGAUGAAGGCCUUCGGGUUGUAAAGUCCUUUCGGCGGGGAAGAUGAUGACGGUACCGCAGAAGAGCCCCGGCUAACUUCGCGCCAGCAGCCGC